Molecule: long non-coding RNA, 220 nt
Filed under: Malus domestica (apple)
Lineage: Eukaryota; Viridiplantae; Streptophyta; Magnoliopsida; Rosales; Rosaceae
Description: long non-coding RNA (MDOM_LNC014965)
Source: RNAcentral
UUAGUCAUAAUAAAGAGAUAUCCGUUUAUCUCUUCAUUCAUAAUGAAGAAACUUCCAAUGAUGGAUUAGAUUCAUAAUCUAAUACAUUUACGCUUCCAUUACGUUACUCUAAUUCUUCCUCGAUCUUUGAGGAAUUUAUCCUUUAAUAUUUCUUAAAUACUUAAGGACUCACUUGACAGUUGCCAUGGUUCUGAUCCUGGGCUUGCACUGAUAUCGUCUU